UACAGAGGGUGCAAGCGUUAAUCGGAAUUACUGGGCGUAAAGCGCGCGUAGGUGGUUAGUUAAGUUGGAUGUGAAAUCCCCGGGCUCAACCUGGGAACUGCAUUCAAAACUGACUGACUAGAGUAUGGUAGAGGGUGGUGGAAUUUCCUGUGUAGCGGUGAAAUGCGUAGAUAUAGGAAGGAACACCAGUGGCGAAGGCGACCACCUGGACUGAUACUGACACUGAGGUGCGAAAGCGUGGGGGGAGCAAACAGGAUUAGAUACCCUGGUAGUCCACGCCGUAAACGAUGUCAACUAGCCGUUGGGAGCCUUGAGCUCUUAGUGGCGCAGCUAACGCAUUAAGUUGACCGCCUGGGGAGUACGGCCGCAAGGUUAAAACUC
Molecule: ribosomal RNA, 381 nt
Filed under: uncultured bacterium
Lineage: Bacteria
Description: bacterial SSU rRNA
Rfam family: Bacterial small subunit ribosomal RNA
Source: RNAcentral